UUCAGAGUGACCAGACUCCGAUUUAUACGAAAGCAAAAUGAAAAUCCAAGUUCUUGUCGCCUUCAUGCUCGUAGCAGUCGUUGCUGCCAUGGCUGCUCCCAAUCAGGUGGCCGAAGGGUCAGACUUGCAUCCUCUCGAAUUGAAUGUUGCGGAAAGCGAUGUCGACACGCAAGGUGUUUCCUGUAUCUUCGGGGACGCUGUUUGCUCUGCCCACUGUCGGGGCGAGGGCAGAAAGGGUGGAAAAUGCAUAAAGGGUACUUGCACUUGUUACAACUAGAUUUAAUGUAACGAGUUUACAUAUCAAAUCCGGCAAUAUAAUUUUCUGUGUAACGGAACUUAUUAGUGGACCAACGACAAUUCAUUGUUUUUGUUGAAAUAUGAUGACAUCGAGCACAUCGAAACUACAAUAGGCCUUGGUUUAUUAAGAUUCAUCAUGUUUAGAAAUAAAAAAAAAAUGUAAUAUUAUACACAUAGAUUUAUAUUAAAAAUAAAUGAUAUCG
Molecule: long non-coding RNA, 500 nt
Organism: Colletes gigas
Lineage: Eukaryota; Metazoa; Arthropoda; Insecta; Hymenoptera; Colletidae
Exons: 3
Source: RefSeq, a predicted model, not a curated record